GGAGUGCUUGCACUCCGGAAGAUCUAGUGGCGAACGGGUGAGUAACACGUGAGAAACCUGCCCCAGACUCUGGGAUAACCUCGGGAAACCGAAGCUAAUACCGGAUAUUCUCCUUUGGUCGCAUGGCCAGUUGAGGAAAGUCUUUCGGUCUGGGAGGGUCUCGCGGCCUAUCAGCUAGUUGGUGGGGUAACGGCCCACCAAGGCUACGACGGGUAGCUGGUUUGAGAGAACGAUCAGCCACACUGGAACUGAGACACGGUCCAGACUCCUACGGGAGGCAGCAGUGGGGAAUCUUGCGCAAUGGGCGAAAGCCUGACGCAGCAACGCCGCGUGCGGGAUGAAGGCCUUCGGGUUGUAAACCGCUUUCAGCAGGGACGAAAAUGACGGUACCUGCAGAAGAAGCCCCGGCUAACUACGUGCCAGCAGCCGCGGUAAUACGUAGGGGGCAAGCGUUGUCCGGAUUUAUUGGGCGUAAAGAGCUCGUAGGCGGUUCCGUAAGUCGAGUGUGAAAAAUCUGGGCUCAACCCAGUGGAGCACUCGAUACUGCGGUGACUAGAGUACGGUAGAGGAGUGUGGAAUUCCUGGUGUAGCGGUGAAAUGCGCAGAUAUCAGGAGGAACACCAACGGCGAAGGCAGCACUCUGGGCCGGUACUGACGCUGAGGAGCGAAAGCGUGGGGAGCAAACAGGAUUAGAUACCCUGGUAGUCCACGCCGUAAACGUUGGGCACUAGGUGUGGGAAGGAAUCAACCCUUUCCGUGCCGUAGCUAACGCAUUAAGUGCCCCGCCUGGGGAGUACGGCCGCAAGGCUAAAACUCAAGGAAUUGACGGGGGCCCGCACAAGCGGCGGAGCAUGUUGCUUAAUUCGAGGC
RNAcentral lists this ribosomal RNA (870 nucleotides) under uncultured bacterium. RNAcentral's name for it is "bacterial SSU rRNA". It matches the Rfam family "Bacterial small subunit ribosomal RNA", at positions 73 to 957 of the family's 1533-position model. The record is from RNAcentral.